UUUCAGAGCGGGCAAGCAUGAGAAUCAGAGGAAGAAGGAAGGAAGGGGCGCUUCACUCUUACAGAGGGAGCUUCGCUACUGACAUGCUCUGGUUUUAAUGAGGUUUGGCAGGAAAAGACUAGUGAGUACUUGGGUUUCUAUCUCAAAAAUGGAGCCUCAAAUAUCUUCAAGUCGCAAAUCCUCCUUGAUGUGCUAUUUGCAAAUAAUUAGGGUUUACUCAUGCAUUCAUCCAACGUUUAUUGAACAUCUGUUAUGUGUAGAGCACAGGGCAUGUAGAGAAGGUUUUGGGGAGCUCAGACUGCUGGUUAUGAGAAUGCCAAUGUCAAUGUUAACAGCAAGAAACAGAAACGCCAACAGCUACAUACAUCUACAUCCUUCCUCGUAUGUGUCUAGUGUAAAUGGCACUGCCAUUCGGUCUUAGGCUGGUGAAAUAUCAAAGUUAAUGGCUCACUCCGGUCUUCAUGAAUAUGAGUCGAAGAUAAAAAGUACUUAAUGAGACAUGGCCUGGUGCUGGAGAAGAGCUGUGUCUGUGAGGGAGGAAACUAAGAAAGGAACAAGUGAAAGAAAUUCUUUCUCCUGACAAAAAAAUCCCCACUUCUAAGAUGCAUGUUUUUGGAGUAAGUAGAGACUAAGUACAAAGCAAGACCCUCUCACGCCUGAUUCCAUCGUUAACACGGAUGUAUUAGAUGGGAUGCUUUCGGCUGUAAGAACGGAUAAUCCACCCAAAGUGGCUUAGCUGAGAAAGAUAUUUACUCUCACACAACAAUGAAAUACAGAGGUCGAGUGGUAUCUGGGCCUUAAUUCAGCAGCUCAGUGAGUUCGUGCGGGCAUACAGGCCCUGCCCAUCUUCCUGUGACACCAUUCUCACCGUGCUGGCUUUUGGCUCCAGACUGUCUGUCCUCUGGCUGUCUGUCUAUUUGCUAUUCUUUGGCUCUGUUCUCUCACAGUUGCAAGACAGUGACAGCUGCUCUGAGCAUCCUAUCCUCACAAAUCUAUAUCCAGUGGCCUCCCAAGAAACAGUCUCCUUUGAGUUCCUUUUGAACAGCAAGAACCUUCCAGAAGCUCCCUCGACAGACUUCCUCUCAGUUCUCAUUGGCCAGAAUUAAGUCACAUGCUUAUUGCCAAACCAAUCACUGGCCAAGGAAGUUGGAUUAUCGCACUUUAUCUGAACUAUCAAGAUUUACACCCCGGGGCUGGAGAGGGGGCCAGCAUCCCUUGAAGAGUAUGGCUCUCUGAUUCCUGGACAAAAUGGGAACACCUAUAGCAAAGAACACAAGGCAGAAGUUGGUGGUAGGAGGGCAUGGGUGUAAGGUAAGCAGCCAGAGGGGCCACCCUUUGGCGACUCAAGGCGGAAGUACCUCCAGGCAAGGAGCAAUUCCAUGAUGGGGACCUUCUCUGAUGGCCACCGGGCUUGACCUUGCUCCACAGAAAGGAUGAGCUGCUCUUGCAGGAAUGAGUUUUGCUGAUCUUUAGGGAAGCUGCGAAGGACACCCUGUACUCUGUAUUCCGCUGGUUCAUAUUACACCACCUUGACCUGCAGCCAAAUUAUGCAUAAGAGCUCUAAAGUGGCUCACGGCUUGGGUAGGCUGGCUGACAUCAUCUGUCAAAUGCGGCACUCUAGAAUUAUCUUACCACCGUUAAACCACGCAAAGGCUUUCCCAUAGAAUAUUUAUAGGAAAAUGUGUCUUUGAAGCAAGAAUGAAACACCCUAGAACUUACUCCAUGAGGAAGAACGGAGUGCCGGCCCCAGCCCAUGAUCGUCACAGUGAGGGGGUGAGGACACAGCAACCAGUGACCAGAAAAUGUUUGCUGGUUCCUGCUCCAGAGGAUCUUGGAGUCUGGUGGAAAAAAAGUGAGAAUCUUAAAAGGGCAAGAGAAGAACUCUGAUGGGGAAAAUUGUUCUGGAGGCAUGGGGGAAGCUAAACAGCUGGAAGAGUAUUAACUCCCUCCUAAGUGCCAGGAAAAUGGCGCUAUGCUACAAAAAUCGGUGAACUGCUAUCCCCGCCUUCAAGGAACUUACUGUCCAGUGAGAGAAACAGACACGGGAUGAAACCCAUACAAAGUUGGAGGAGAGGCUGAAGACCAGAGGGGUCAGGCAAGGCUUCACGGAGCAGAGAUCCUUUAAGGAUGCUAGUGCCCCAGAUGGACAAGGCUGGGAAGCGCUCCCUGCAGAGCAGACAGCACUGAUAUUCCAACCCAGGCAAGUCCCAGAUGGAAGGAUUUGACCAGCUUGCAGCGUCUUUCUGCAGACCACAGGGCUUACCAGCAUCUUGGCCUCUGACUACCUACACACAUGAGACAUCUGGGCGGCUAACCAAGAAGAGGCCCCUGGCUCAAGAGGCCAGGAACAGCCAGUGACCACAGCAGCUAGUGUGUGACAGCAAAUGCUGGUCCAAUUUCAGUGAAAUGAGAAACUUUCAGCUCCAUUUUAUGGUUUUAGGCAGUCAUUUCCAAGCACAGUUAUUAAGAAAGGGGUUAUUUAAAUUAAUGAUUCGUCUCUUGGAGGGGGAGAGUGGUAAGUGAACAUGUGAUAAUGACAUGAGGGUUAGGUUUCUUACAGCCACUUUGGGCCAGAACACUGUGAAACCACCAGUUUUGUGUACGUGUGAUUUGCCAUGCCGAGCUGGGGAAAGAGGCAGGAUUCGGCAUCGUUCGUUUCAAGAGACUAAUAUUUUCACUUCUCACUUGAAUUUGCUUCUAAGGGUCGAGGUGCAGAAGAAAGCACCGGGCAAGAAAAGCUCCCAAGAUUGCCCGCUACUGUGUUCGGAGUCCACAGAGGGGAGUAAGAGAGAGAUUUGUGCAUCAGAAACUGGCAGCCUGGGUGGGGAGGGGAGGAGGGCGUAAUGGACGAUCUCAGCACAGUGCGAUGAUGGUGGCGUCAAGUCGGGACAACAGAGGAGCCUGAAGAGGAGCCCCUAGCCAUCCAGCAGGAUUCAAGGAAGGCUUCCGGGAGGGGCUGUGCUGGGCAGAAAGCUUGCUUCUCGUCUGACAGGGAUCCCCUUUCACUAUCUUUUUGUGACUGUUUUUCUUACUGUAAACGACACAUCUGACCCAUAAGUUUUGACCUGGAUUUUUGUAACUUAAGUAGAAUCUUAGAGAAAUUUUAUCAUCCAUCACUGACGUGCAUCUGCCCCUGGGGAGGUGAGUCGCGAACAGCUUAAGGGCAUGAAACACUGGAAUGCAGAGCCCAGAGAAUGUGCUGAGAGAUAACUCAUCUAGAAAGAGCCAACUGGUUAUACGGCAGCAUUCUAGAACUUUCCACAUAGAUCAGGCAUUCCAUUUUUCUGUUUCACAUGUACAUUUGAAAACUUGGGAGAGUAACAUAGGAUCAUUAUCAAAAACUUUGGAAAAGGAAGGAAAAGCACAAAGAAGAAAAAAAUCAUUUAUAUUAGUACAAUGCAGAAUUAAUCUUUCGGUACAUUUGCUUUUAAAGUCUUCUAUGCGUAUAGAGAUAUGCAGGUUUCAGACAACUGAAAUGACAUCGUAUAUAUACAUCUGUGCUCAGUUUCUUUCUGCUCAUUUAACAUUAUUUCAUAUGAAUUUUCUCAUGAUUUUACAAUUUCAUCAAAAAUUUUUUCCACCACGUGUUUAAUUAUUUUAACCAUUCCCUUUCUCUUUCGAAAUCUAGUUUUCUUCCCCCCCAUAGUUUUUGGCCAUUAUAAAUAACAUGAUAAAAAAAUGUGUUACAUACAACCUUGUCCUGGUUUGCCUGGGAACUUUAAUGGUUUUUUGGGCAUACAUGGCUAAAAUGCUUUCCAAAAAAUCUAUCCCUUUGUCGAUAUUAAGUAUUACUAUUUUUGAAAUAUGUGCUAAAGUGACGGGUCAGAUUGAGUAUUUCAUUUUCACUUCCAUUUAUCACUAUAGUGCUGGCCACUUAAAAAUGUUUUUCAUGGCUAUUUUUACUUUUUCUUCUUAAACCUGUCAGUGUCCUUUGCCAAUCUUUCUACUGAGAAAUUACUUUUCUUAUUGAUUGUAUGAAUGCUUUAUAAAUGAAGACUAUUAAAUCUUUCCAUAUUCAUGAAAAUAUAUUCUUCCUUUUUGUUUGUCUUUAGAUUGUUUUAUGUGCAGAAGAGUUUAACUUCUAUGUAA
Molecule: non-coding RNA, 4089 nt
Organism: Vicugna pacos (alpaca)
Lineage: Eukaryota; Metazoa; Chordata; Mammalia; Artiodactyla; Camelidae
Source: RefSeq, a predicted model, not a curated record